Columba livia (rock pigeon) is the source of this 2460-nucleotide long non-coding RNA. RefSeq lists it as uncharacterized. Lineage: Eukaryota; Metazoa; Chordata; Aves; Columbiformes; Columbidae. The transcript has 4 exons. The record is from RefSeq and is a predicted model, not a curated record.
UCCCUCCCCUUUCCUAGGGGAUUGUGGGAAGGGGUGGGUGGGGCUCAGUGUAUUUGAGCCCCAGUCCCCUGGCAGGGAGCUCAUUCGGCUCCAGGACCGCUUCGGUGAUGGUUCUCUGUCGCUCCUUCGGCAGCCGGCAGGUUUUGAGCCGUUUAAGCUACGUGGGCAGCCGUCUUAGGAGAAGCCGAGGAGUCCCUUUGAGGUGGUGACGGGGAAAGUGACAACUGCAGGAAGAUCACCGUUAGCCCACGUCGUGUUUUCCUCUGUUGAAGAUGGAUUUGGUCCCUCAGCCCUCUAAAAGUUAAGUGGAGGCACGAGGGCUUGGAAGGGGCUGGGAAUCGCAGGGAGGGUUUUAAGUUCUGAGACAGAAAAGGGCAGUCCCCUUUGGGCAGAGAAAUGGGGUCAGACAACUUUAUAGUGCGAUGCCAGCGUGUGCCGGGCAGGGCCGCUCCAGCCCGCGUCUGUUGUCGUGUAGUUUGGGGAGCGUGCUUCGUGUCUGUCAGACGAUCUCGGGUAUCAUUGCGUUCCAGGGGCAAGAAAGUCAUUUCAAGCGCCAUCCCGGGGUCUGGAAAGCCGGUGCCGAUCGACGUAGCGCUAAUCGGCUGCUGGUUUUCUUGUAUCAGCCGUCGAAAGGGUACACGGUUCUUGUAUCUUGAAUGUUUUUUGUCAGUUGUUUUUUAUGGUGUAGUUCUGGGCUGCAACAGCAGCUCUCAUCUCUGCUUAUCCAGUCUAAGGGACUGGCACUUCUUCCCAGCAUCUUGAAGGUUUUAAGUUUUGCAGCAGCUUCUCGUAUUUGUGCCGUCUCCGCAUGUUUGCGCCAGGGCUGCCGUCUCGUAAGAGUCCGUGACGUUCGGCUCCUUUUUUUUCUGGGGUGGCAUUAGAGGCUCCUCGCCUCACCACUGCCUCCCCGCAGGUUAUUUUUAUCGUUGCUGUCUCUGAUUUGGAGUUAUUUUUGUUGUGGAGCAUUUUUGGUGUUGUUGCUGUCGGGUCGUCUAUAAUGUUGUGUGGAGCAUCUGUCUAAGCACGUGCGCAUUUGGCUCGGAGCUGCUCUGCCCGGAGGUGUAGAGUUAGGAGCGGGUGGACCGAGCUUUAGGAGUCCACGAUUGAUCUGUGGACAUGUUAUCCUGCGUAGGCAUAGGCUGUGCGGUCAUCUGGGACGGAGUAGCUGUGGGCAGGGGAGCGGACAGUCCGUACCGCAGUGGUUUUUGGGACUCAAUUAGACCUUAUUGUGUGAUUCCUGAAUAGAAAGCAGACCUGUGGAAUGGUCAAGCUGUUGAUGAGCUCCUGGUUACCUUGUUGAAUACCUUGAUUUCAGAUGCAGAGGGACAACUUGGCACGAAAGAGCGACGGAGGAGGCGAGCCGAGCGCCGUAAGCAAGCAGGUGCGAAGCAAAGUGGAAAGCUGGGUAUCGGCAGCGCAGCUCCUCUGGCAAGAUGUUGAAGAGGAACCCAGCGAUGCAGGAAGAUCCCUGUUAGCGCGUGUGGCGUUUUCUUCGUCGAAGAUGGGUUAGGUCCCUCGGCCCUCUGAAAGCUAAGUGGAGGCACGGGGGCUGGGAAGGGGCUGGGAAUCGCAGGGUUGGGGUUAAGUUCUGAUAAGGGCCGUCCAGGAACAGUUCCCCUUGGGUGGGUAAAGUGUCUGGGGACCUUUACAGUGUGAUGCCAGGGUGUGGCGGGCAGGGCAGCUCCAGCCUCUGUCUGCAUUGUGUAGUUUGGGAAGCCUGUCUCGCGACUGUCCGAUGAUCCUGGGGUCUCUUUGCGCUCCAGGCGCACAGCAUGUAUCUCGGGUGCCAUCCCGGGAUCUGGAAUGCCAGUGCCAAUUGGGUUGGUGUCAAUUGGGUCCUGGAUUCUUGUAUCAUCAGCCGAAAGUGUGGGUAGUGGUUUCAUUUUUCAUGUUUCUGGUCAGUUGUGAUUUACGGUGUAGUUCUGGGCCGCAUCAUCAGCGGUUGUGCUCUGUAUGCAUCCAGUCUAUGGGACUGGCACUUUAAGAUGCUGGGAAGAAGUUCUUAGUUUUGCAGCAGCCUUGCGUGUUUGUGCCAGUGCCACCAUUUCUUAAGGGGCCGUGAUGUUGGGCUCUUAUUUUUUUCUGGGGUUGCAGUAGAGACUCCUUGCCUCACUGCUGCCUCUCUGCAGGUUCUUUUGAUUGAUGUAGUCUCUGUUUUGGAGUAGCUCUUGUUAUACAGCACUUUUGGUGCUGUUGAUGUGUUGUCUAUAAUGUUUUGAGGUGCGUCUGUCUGUGCACGUGCACAUUUGGCUCGGAGCUGCUGUGCCCGGAGGCGUGGAGUCAGGGGUGGGUGAAUGUAGCUCUAGGGGUGCACGGUUAAUCUGUUGACACGUUAAACUGCAUUGGCAAAGGUUGAGCCGUCAUCUGGGAUGGAGUAGCUGUGGGCAGGGGAGCGGACUGUCCCUUCUCCAGUGUUUUGGAGACCUAAUUAGAGCUUCUGGUGGGAUUCCUAAACAGAAA